CCGCCGAGCCUCCUGCGGCCGAGGCUCGUCCCGAGACGCGCCGGCUCCGCGCCUUCCGGGAGAGCUUGCGCCUGCUCGGGGCUUCGCCGCCGUCUCGGGCGAGGACGGCUGGCUGGGCUGCAGCGGCCGGGAGGGAGCCAGCGUGGGCCUCGAGCCUCGUCAGCCCCAGUCAGGAGCUCGGGGCCCGGAGGGGGAGCUCGGCUCUGAAACGUGCAGCCAUGAAUUCUGGAGCUGCCGUGAGACCGGGGAACGACGCGUCGGCCGAGCUGAGCGAGGUUACUAUGUGGAGCUAAUCGGGCAUUCCAGUGACACUGAGGAUGUGGCAUUGUGUGUCCCUCAGAGGUAGAAUGACGUCUGCAGCAGAGCGGUCAGCAGGCAGGUGGAGGGAGAAAGAGCGAGACUGAGAGGGAGAAAAUGUGUGUAAAUGAAGAAACGGAACAGUAUAUUGUGCAGAGUUGGUGUGUGAUGUGAAGAAAAAACAAGGGUGCCUUGGGGCCCUGGGAUGGUCUUUGUAAAAUAAUCCCAAGACUAAAAAGCUCAUUUAAAAAAAAAAACCACACACAGACUAUAAUAAAUUGGGACCAUCUGUUGUUCUAUCUCGGCCUGCUUACUUCGUUUUCUGCCUGUUGCUUAUUUAAGAAUGCCUUUACAAUGGCGACGGAGCCCUGCCCGGUGUCAGAUGGCACCAGGGACGGAGUGCAGAGAGGCCAGCAAGGCUGGGCUGCAG
Molecule: long non-coding RNA, 727 nt
Organism: Ailuropoda melanoleuca (giant panda)
Lineage: Eukaryota; Metazoa; Chordata; Mammalia; Carnivora; Ursidae
Exons: 3
Source: RefSeq, a predicted model, not a curated record